Oenanthe melanoleuca is the source of this 460-nucleotide long non-coding RNA. RefSeq lists it as uncharacterized. The transcript has 3 exons. The record is from RefSeq and is a predicted model, not a curated record. Lineage: Eukaryota; Metazoa; Chordata; Aves; Passeriformes; Muscicapidae.
UGAAGACGGAUUACCCAAACCUUUCCCUUCCCUGCUGCACUAGAAGCCAGGAAUAUCCUGUUGCUUCAGUCUGAAAACGGAACAGUUUAAAAAUCACGAGGAGGUGAGCAAAGAACCUGCUGUGCCCCUGGAUUCUGCAUUUACCACUUUGCUAAGAGAGCCUAUGAGAGAGGAAGCAAUACCCUACUGGAAGGUGGUGUUCAGACAAAAUUGGCUUCCUGGCUCCCACCUGACCAGCUUUUGUUGGGAGUAAAGCAUGUGCUGUUAUACCUGAAAUCCACAGUGGAGAACUUCAGCAGGCUUGGUAAAACUUUGGGUCCUCAGCUUGUUGAUCUCUGUGUGGACCUGCUGAGCAUCUUGUUGUGCCGGGACAAUGAAAUAAAGCUGGAGCAGCAGCAGAAGCAGGAGGAGCAUCAGGCUGAUGGGAUCUCUUCAUGGAUGAGAGCCUCUGAUGACAGAA